RNAcentral lists this ribosomal RNA (308 nucleotides) under uncultured bacterium. Its description in RNAcentral is "partial 16S ribosomal RNA". It matches the Rfam family "Bacterial small subunit ribosomal RNA", at positions 505 to 809 of the family's 1533-position model. The record is from RNAcentral.
GAGACAGCAGCAGCCGCGGUAAAACGAGGGGGGCAAGCGUUGUUCGGAAUUAUUGGGCGUAAAGGGUGCGUAGGCGGUUUGGUAAGUCUUGUGUGAAAUCUUCGGGCUCAACCCGAAGCCUGCACGAGAAACUGCCGGGCUUGAGUAUGGGAGAGGUGAGUGGAAUUUCCGGUGUAGCGGUGAAAUGCGUAGAUAUCGGAAGGAACACCUGUGGCGAAAGCGGCUCACUGGACCAUUACUGACGCUGAUGCACGAAAGCUAGGGGAGCAAACAGGAUUAGAUACCCCCGUAGUCCCUGUCUCUUAUAA